AUCAACUAAUGUAUGUAGUGUCGGUUAAAACAUUUUUCGAAUGUAGAAAUCGUUUAUGAAAUAAAGUAUUUAAUUAUAUUAAUCGAAUUCGAACUAAUUUUAUGAUAUCAUUAUUACAUAUUUCAAACGUAAUCUUAUGAUUGUUCUGAAUGUAUAAGUUUCCUAUAGUUUGUAAUGUAAAGUGAAAUAUUAUAUAUUAUAUAAUCGGAAUAAAGUAAUUUAUUCUGAACUUAAAAAGUCUAAAAGCUAGUCUUCACGUCGUAAUAUUUUAAUAUGAAAAUUAUGAAGAUCUUUAACACGUAUAAUUGUAAUUUACUCAAACACUUUAGAAUAAAUCAAUUUAUAAAAAAAAAUAUAUUUCUAAGGCUUCAUAAAAAUAUUUCUCAUAUUAGUACAAUAAAUUCUAAUAAUAUGGGAGAAUUGAAUAUUACAAAAUCAAUUGAAAAUUUAAAAAUAUAUCAUGAAAAUAAAUUUGCCUGUCUUUUAAUUGAGUGUUUAUAUUGCAACAAUAAAAAAUUAUAUGUUAAUAAAAUAACAGGUAGGUUUAUAUGUACACAUUGUAUGAGAGUUGGAGAAUGGUCUUCCUGUGAAGAAUACUUGCAAUCUCAUAAAAAUUCUAAAGCUAAUUUCAUUCCUACUCCCAAAAUAUUUGAAGCAGAACAAUAUUUCAAAAAAAUAUCAAAUACUUUAAUACAUUUCAGUGCUCUAUCAGUCGGAACUAAAAAAAGUAUCUUAAAAGCCUUAGAUGUUGAGGGGUUAAAAAUACCAGGUAUAGAUCGUAUUCCAGGUUUAUACCAUAAUGAAAAUAAUGUACUGUAUCUAACUCUUAUGUUAGAUAGAAAAAAAGUUGUUGGCUACAAAAAAAUUGAUGUACAAAAUAAUCAAACAGAUAUAACAGAACCUUUUGAUGAAUGUUGGGGUAUUGCCCAAGUUCCUCCAUCUUUAGUAAAUAGAAAUGAAAGUGCAAUUGUUGUUAAUGAUUUUAAGAGUUUCCUAGUCUUAGCAGCUCAUAAAUUACCUCAUCAUGUUAUUUGUCUACCUCAUGGUUUAAGAAAAUUACCUCAAGAAUUGUUACCAUCAUUAGAAAAUUAUAAUAAGUUGAUACUUUGGUUUGAAAAUGAUCAAAUUGCAUGGAAUUCUGCAAGAACUUUUGCUAAAAAAUUUGUAGAAUCUCGUUGUUAUUUUAUAAGACCUGUAAAUGAUCAACCCUCGCCCUAUAUUGCAUUUAAACAAGAUCUAAAUAUUGAAAAAAUAAUUAAAACUGCUGAUAAAAUGGUUCAUCCUAGUAUCAUUAAUUUUUCAACUAUACGUAAAGAAGUAUUUGCUGAAUUACAAAAUCAUGAUAAAGCUCUAGGCAUAAAGUGGUCUAACUUUCCCAUUUUAAAUAAAACACUUGGAGGUCAUCGUCGUGGCGAACUCACAAUAUUAACUGGACCAACAGGAUCCGGAAAAACCACAUUUAUUAGUGAAUAUUCAUUAGAUUUAACAAAACAAGGACUACCAACAUUAUGGGGUAGUUUUGAGAUAAGAAAUCAAAGAUUGGGAAAAAUUAUGCUUCAACAGUUUGCAAAAGAACCUAUUCACUUGAAUUUGAAUUUGUUUGAUGCAUUAGCUGAUGAAUUUGAAAAGUUACCAUUAUAUUUUAUGACAUUUCAUGGGUCACAACCUUUAAAUACUGUCAUGGAUGCUGUUUUAAAUGCUGCUUAUGUAUAUGAUAUUGGCCAUGUUGUCAUUGACAAUGUACAAUUUAUGAUGGGUAUUGGUUCUAAGUAUAACAUGGGAUCAGAACGUUUCUGGCAACAGGAUACUGUUAUAGCAGAAUUUCGUAAUUUUGCUACUUACACAAAUUGUCAUGUAACAUUAGUAAUACAUCCUAGAAAGGAAAAAGAUGUUGAACAAUUAUCUAUAAGUUCAAUUUUUGGUACUGCUAAGGCAACUCAAGAAGCUGAUAACAUAUUAAUAAUACAGAAUAAAACUCUGGAAUCCUUACAGAUAAAAAAAUAUUUACAAGUUGUGAAAAACCGAUAUAAUGGCAAUCUUGGAAUAAUGCCUUUAGAAUUUGAUAAGCAUAGUUUAAGUUUCUCUCAAUCAAAAAAUUGAUUUUUAGUUUAUCAUCAAUUUAAUUGUUAAUCCAGACCGAAGCGAACAGAGCCUGUGCCCCGGACACCGAUCAGUAGUGUAGGGUUUUGUUUUUUGGAUUGGGAAAUACAUAAAAAAAAAAUCUCUUCGACAAAAAUAAAUAGUAUGUUACCAUGUAACAAUUUUUAUUGGCGGAAUCUACCUCAUUUAAAAUUUUGUAAAAUCUAGCGCCAGCACUAUUCAUGAUGAACGAUGAAGGCUAGUAAAAAAUCGUUUGUUAGUGGUAUGUCAAGACCAAUACUUAAAAGGAGCAAAUUUUGUAAUGAAUUUUAGUUUUCAUCUCUUUCAUCAUACCUUAAAGUUUUUCUAUCUGAAUUAUGAAGUAUUGUGCAGAAAAAACAUUUGAUUUUGUAAAAAUAAACAA
Molecule: RNA transcript, 2503 nt
Organism: Daktulosphaira vitifoliae (grape phylloxera)
Lineage: Eukaryota; Metazoa; Arthropoda; Insecta; Hemiptera; Phylloxeridae
Gene: mtDNA-helicase
Gene name: mitochondrial DNA helicase
Exons: 10
Source: RefSeq, a predicted model, not a curated record